Long non-coding RNA from Micropterus salmoides (largemouth bass), 546 nucleotides. RefSeq lists it as uncharacterized. The record is from RefSeq and is a predicted model, not a curated record. NCBI's taxonomy places the organism in Eukaryota, Metazoa, Chordata, Actinopteri, Centrarchiformes, Centrarchidae. The transcript is spliced from 2 exons.
UUCAGAUAAUGUCACUGAAGCUAACAGGUGACGUUAGCUUCAGUGACGUUAGCUUCAGUGACGUUAGCUAUAGUUCAGAUAAUGUCACUGAAGCGAACAGGUGAAGUUAGCUUCAGUGACGUUAGCUAUAGUUCAGAUAAUGUCACUGAAGCUAACAGGUGACGUUAGCUUCAGUGACGUUAGCUAUAGAAAGUUAGCUUCUUUGAAAGUUAUCUUUCAAACAUUGUGUGUGUAAUUCAACACAAUAAAAAACUUGAAUCCAAACAUGAGUUGCCUUUGGCCGCCAACUAAUGUACAUAUUUAACAAGUUGCCGUGGCAGUCCAUCAGAAGGGGCGGGGCUUAGACUCUCUGUAUAAGGGAGUUCAUUUUAUGAUUUAAGUUCCUCUGAGAACAAACUCAGGUGACAGAAAAUGUUUCUGAACCCUGAAGAGCUCGUUUCACCGUGUACGAGCUGACGCAGCAACACGAGGUCAGCGUGUCUCACCUGGUCACUCACCUGAGGACCCGUCCUGUGUCCUGAUGAAUAAAAGACGCUGCUUCCUCUG